This 466-nucleotide ribosomal RNA is filed under the name uncultured bacterium. Its description in RNAcentral is "partial 16S ribosomal RNA". It matches the Rfam family "Bacterial small subunit ribosomal RNA", at positions 28 to 507 of the family's 1533-position model. The record is from RNAcentral.
GAUGAACGCUGGCGGCGUGCUUAACACAUGCAAGUCGAACGGAAAGGCUCCUGCCUGCAGGGGUACUCGAGUGGCGAACGGGUGAGUAACACGUGGGGGAUCUGCCCUGUACUUCGGGAUAAGCUUGGGAAACUGGGUCUAAUACCGGAUAUGACAAUCUCUUGGGGGGGGUUGUGGAAAGCUUUUGCGGUAUGGGAUGAGCUCGCGGCCUAUCAGCUUGUUGGUGGGGUAUUGGCCUACCAAGGCGUCGACGGGUAGCCGGCCUGAGAGGGUGUACGGCCACAUUGGGACUGAGAUACGGCCCAGACUCCUACGGGAGGCAGCAGUGGGGAAUAUUGCACAAUGGGCGCAAGCCUGAUGCAGCGACGCCGCGUGGGGGAUGACGGCCUUCGGGUUGUAAACUCCUUUCGCAACCGACGAAGCUUUUGUGACGGUAGGUUGAGAAGAAGCACCGGCUAACUACGUG